Molecule: ribosomal RNA, 305 nt
Filed under: uncultured bacterium
Lineage: Bacteria
Description: bacterial SSU rRNA
Rfam family: Bacterial small subunit ribosomal RNA
Source: RNAcentral
UUUAGCCUACGGGAGGCAGCAGUGGGGAAUAUUGGGCAAUGGGCGCAAGCCUGACCCAGCAAUGCCGCGUGAAGGAAGAAGGCCCUCGGGUUGUAAACUUCUUUUAUCAGGGACGAAGGAUGUGACGGUACCUGAUGAAUAAGCUCCGGCUAACUACGUGCCAGCAGCCGCGGUAAUACGUAGGGAGCAAGCGUUAUCCGGAUUUACUGGGUGUAAAGGGCGCGUAGGCGGGAUGGCAAGUCAGAUGUGAAAUCUGGGGGCUCAACCCUUGAACUGCAUUUGAAACUGUAGUUAUUGAGUACUGG